This 209-nucleotide long non-coding RNA is filed under the name Elaeis guineensis (African oil palm). Its description in RNAcentral is "long non-coding RNA (EGUI_LNC024133)". Lineage: Eukaryota; Viridiplantae; Streptophyta; Magnoliopsida; Arecales; Arecaceae. The record is from RNAcentral.
AAUACUUACCCCGAUAUACACUGAUGUGUAUAAGCCAUUUAAUGGCAGGCCAGCAGUGGUUAUCAGUACUUUAUCAUCUUUAUCGAUAAUUAUUCACAAUAUGGGUAUGUAUUUCUUAUGAGACACAAGUCCGAAGCUUUUGAAAAGUUUAAAAAAUUUAGACAUAAAGUAGAAAAAUAAAUAAAAAAAUCACUUAAGAUUCUUUGAUC